Long non-coding RNA from Eriocheir sinensis (Chinese mitten crab), 1151 nucleotides. RefSeq lists it as uncharacterized. The record is from RefSeq and is a predicted model, not a curated record. The transcript is spliced from 3 exons. Lineage: Eukaryota; Metazoa; Arthropoda; Malacostraca; Decapoda; Varunidae.
AACACGUUCGGUAUCAUCCAAGAGAAUGUGGCAGCUGGAGAGGAGAGUCCAAGAAAGAGGCCAAGGGUGAAGCUGAAUGAAGACAUUUAGCCACCCCCUGAGGUACGUGGCAUCAUCCAACCCUCUUGCUGAGCUGCAGGAGUGUGCUCCCCAUUGCAGUGCACCAGCUCCAUGUACUGAUUUUGGGUGUGAACUUGAUGGGGUUGGAGGAAACUCGACUCGGCCAUCAAGCUCACCACAAUAUAACAUGAAAAGUGAAAAUUGCUGCACACAACAGUCUAUCGUCUGCAGCUCAAAGCCCAGGCUGUUACAACUCCUGGGCAGUUUUUGCCCAGAGCAAUUUUUUAGAUCCAAUAGGCGUGGAGUUUUUCUAAGGUCAGGUUCAACAUGCUGCAAGAUCUAAGCCUAGUAGGAGAUAUGGGUUACAAGAGAGGAGGUUUGCUCUGGCCUUAUACUAUCAAAGUCCAAAUGCUAAUAGAUUUCUAAGCACAGUAUUUCACUUGCCUUCAGUUUCAACACUUCACUCAUGACUCAGGGGUAUUUCAGUAAAUGUUGGCUGGAGCAAACAGACUCUGACAGCCCUGCAGCAAAGAGCACAGGCUUUGUCAAAAGAAGAGAUACUUCGUGGGAUUUGCCAUUAUUUAGUAUUACUCUUGUUUCGCCAAGAAAUUUUUUCCAUAUACUUUGCCAAAUAUUGCAAGUAAUGCACCAUUGUUGGUCUUGCCUGUUAUAAAUCAGGUCUUGUUCAGUUAACAAGCUUUGGGUGUCUGCCACUUUCCAGUUGUAAUGCAAGGAAUCAUUUAUCUUCCCUGCCAGAUAUCACAUGUAAUGCACCAUUGUUGGCUUUGCCUGUUGUAAAUCAGAUCUUGUUCAGUUAACAAGCUUUAGGUGUCUGCCACUUUCCAAUUGUAAUGCAAGGAAUCCCCUGCCAGAUAUUGCAUGUAAUGCACCAUUGUUGGUUUUGCCUGUUAUAAAUCAGAUCUUGUUCAGCUCACAAGCUUUGAAUAUCUGCCAUUGUUUAUUUCAGGUGUAAUGCUUGGAAGCAUUUGUUCUCUGCCCUACCCAACAGUAUGCAAUGCUUUAUUGUGGAUUUUGCCUGUUAUGUUCAAUCUUGUUCAGGUAACAAGCUUUUGGUGUCUGCCUUACCUAAU